Molecule: RNA transcript, 1535 nt
Organism: Wyeomyia smithii (pitcher-plant mosquito)
Lineage: Eukaryota; Metazoa; Arthropoda; Insecta; Diptera; Culicidae
Gene: Tsen54
Exons: 6
Source: RefSeq, a predicted model, not a curated record
GGUUUCCCAGACUCAUGUUGUUUAUACAAACAUAAAAUAUGUAAUUUGAAUUGCCUCGUACGAUUCGGAUUAUGGACAGUGAAAAUAAUCCAGAAACUCUUCAAAGCUGUAGAUCAUUACUCAGUGGGAACGAUUUGCUGGCUCAUUAUGUUGCCACUUAUGAACUGAACAGCUGUUUCGAACGGCUUGUCCUACCAGAAGAGGAAUUGGCCCAUCAGGAUCAAAUCAUUCGGCUAAAAGAGGAAUUUCGCCAAAUACUUGCACAACAACGAGUUGAUAGAGAAGAAGCAUUCUCAAAAGGAGAAUGGGAGGCGGACAGGAAACGUGUAAGAGUCGUAAAGGCUUUUGGUAAAUAUAACGUUUUUGGCUAUCAACAAGACAAACAGUUAUAUUUGCAAGGGUAUGAAGCACUGCAUCUCAUGGAAAUGAAAAGGCUGAUUGUUUACUGGGAUACGGUGAUCGUGUCAAUGGAACAAGCAUAUGUGUUGUUUUUGGGAUAUCCAGAUUCACUAGACUUAGAAGAGUACCUUGUCUACAGUAUGUUAAUGAGAACUGGAUUUUAUUUAUUGAAAUUCGACGCCAAUAGAAUCUAUCAAUCGCAUGAUGACUCUAGUAAAACGUUAGAUGAAUAUUCGAAAUGUGUCUGGCGGAAUUUGUAUGACAUGUUGAACCAGCCUAAUCCACUGCUAGAAGAAACUGAGAAUUCGCUGGAUCUAGAACAAUACAAUGAUAUAAGACGUUCUAUGUUAAGUUUUGGAAACAAAAUCAUGUCACCUACAAAACCCGAAGUUUUUGAGCAGAGUAAAUCAAAACGAAAACGUGUUAAUUCUGAUCACGAAACAAACGUUAGUCAUGAUAUAAAGGACACAACAGAACAGAGUUAUGAAUGCAAACUUAAGCAAUUCAGUGAUCUUUUUGAAAGUUUUGAUGUUAUAAAAAGUUCACUAGUCAAUUUACCGACUGAUGAAAAUGAAGAGAGUAGCCAGUUGAAACUUUCGUUCGACAUGUUUACCGCUGAUGGAUCUGUUUUUCGCAAAAGUUUUCCACCGGCCCCUGAGCAUAGGAUAUUGGUCAGCAGGUCGAACCAACCGUUGCCGACUGCUGGCGAAAUUGGGCGUCUUUUUCAAGGCCAGCCUGAGCCACUGGUGCCUAUUUUAAUGUUUCGCGUAUCUGACACGCUGUCCUUAAGCUGUUUUUUGUACUGUUUUACCAAGUUACCUUCAAAUCUCGUGGCUGUACGCUACCCAGGGUGCUCCAUACAACGGAAAAGUGUCGAGACAGAAGAUGUGCAUUUAAACUAAGCAGAAUUGAGUUUGUUCAGCAAAAACAAAUAGACAGCAAGCAAAAACAUGUUUUGAAUAAUGAAGAGUGAACCUAAAAUAUAUCAUGCAAGAAAACUUAUUGCUUCACCGACGAAUCGCAUCAACAGGAUCAAAAUUGUUUGAGUUAAAAUAGUAAUAUAGAGAUUUUAUAUGAAUAACUCAAUAAGACAAGAAUGAGUAAAAAUUGAUCCGAAUUCCGCUGCAAUUUCUAAA